UUUUUUUUACACAAAGUUUCAUAACUUGAAUAGUUUCUCGCUUAAAGUGUUUAAUUAAAAUUUUUUUUCAUUUUGUAGUCUCUUGGAUCUUGGAGUUGAUUGAAGUGUAUUUUUAAUAGCCAAAUAGAUUCACUUUUAUAUGGUUUAAAAAUUGUUGGGUAUAUAAGGGGCAUUUGAAACAUCAGAUUUUUGUAUUUGCUGUGAUUUUCCUACUGGCCGGUGUGCCAGGUACCGGAUAUCCUCCCGAACUGCAGGCAGGCCCGUCUCUUUCCUGUGAGAGUCACAACCGCCUCUUGGCGGAAGCGGAAACCCUUUCCUCCAUCACGUUUCGCCCCUUGCAGGCCGGAAGCAGGCCUGCUCGCCUGGGAGCAUGUUUGGUCGAAUCUGGGUUGGGCGGCUUGGUCGCAGUGUGCCUGUGCUAGACUCGCGGCGCAUUCAUCGCGGCGCCCACAGCCACUCCAGUUCUCUGGUUGUUCUCGCGCGCCAGGAGCCGUGGGCCAGGCCAUCAGGCCAUACAAGUGCUGCUAAAGCGGCCUCGCCUUAGGCUGCAUCAUCUCGGGGAUGUUUCACUUGUGUCUUCUCCCAGUUUCAGCCCCAGCCCCUCGAACCCACCGGGUCUCCACAUCGCACUCUGAUCAAUAUCCCACAGGACUCAGUGACCUUUGAGGAUGUGGCUGUGAACUUCACCCAGGAGGAGUGGGCUUUGCUGGGACCUUCCCAGAAGAAUCUCUACAGAGAUGUGAUGCGGGAAACCUUCAGGAACCUGAUGUCUGUAGCAGUCAUAUGGUAGAGAGUCUGUGAAGGUAAAGAAGAUGGUCAAUGUGAAGAAAUCUUAAGCCUUAUUCCACAUGGUAUAGUGAAGGCGACCAUGUGAAAGCAGUGUGUGUGGAGAAGGCAACAUGGAUCAUUCAUCUCUUAAUUGCUGCAUCAGAGCUGACACUGGACACAAAUCAUAUGAGUAUCAGGAACACAGAAGCCAGAAGCCACAUAAGCAGUGUGUGAAAACCUUCAGCUUUUGCCACUCCUUUCAAACACGUGAAAAGCCUCACACUGGAAAGAAACUCCAUGAUUGUAGGAAAUGUGGAAAAACCUUCAUUUCUGUUCAAA
Molecule: non-coding RNA, 1107 nt
Organism: Macaca mulatta (Rhesus monkey)
Lineage: Eukaryota; Metazoa; Chordata; Mammalia; Primates; Cercopithecidae
Source: RefSeq, a predicted model, not a curated record